RNAcentral lists this ribosomal RNA (468 nucleotides) under uncultured bacterium. RNAcentral describes it as "partial 16S ribosomal RNA". It matches the Rfam family "Bacterial small subunit ribosomal RNA", at positions 28 to 523 of the family's 1533-position model. The record is from RNAcentral.
GAUGAACGCUGGCGGCGUGCCUAACACAUGCAAGUCGAGCGAUUCUCUUCGGAGAAGAGCGGCGGACGGGUGAGUAACGCGUGGGUAACCUGCCCUGUACACACGGAUAACAUACCGAAGGGUAUGCUAAUACGAGAUAAUAUGCUUCUAUCGCAUGGCAGAAGUAUCAAAGCUUUUGCGGUACAGGAUGGACCCGCGUCUGAUUAGCUAGUUGGUAAGGUAACGGCUUACCAAGGCGACGAUCAGUAGCCGACCUGAGAGGGUGAUCGGCCACAUUGGAGCUGAGACACGGUCCAAACUCCUACGGGAGGCAGCAGUGGGGAAUAUUGCACAAUGGGCGAAAGCCUGAUGCAGCAACGCCGCGUGAGCGAUGAAGGCCUUCGGGUCGUAAAGCUCUGUCCUCAAGGAAGAUAAUGACGGUACUUGAGGAGGAAGCCCCGGCUAACUACGUGCCAGCCGCCGCAGUAA